AGAGUCCUGAUGUGUUUGUGGUAGACCCUAUGUUUUGACCUAACAUACUACCUUCGGGAGUUCGCGUUUUCGAGUGAAGUAAAUGCCUAGCACAUAGGACUUACAAAAGCUUGGAACAGAACACCCACCUGCUGAGUGCGGGUUCAAAACGAAGGAAAAUAAUGCGACGGCACAAUUGGGACUCUU
This 186-nucleotide non-coding RNA is filed under the name Robertmurraya kyonggiensis. RNAcentral describes it as "Bacillus kyonggiensis 6S RNA". It matches the Rfam family "6S / SsrS RNA". From Rfam's summary of the family: E. coli 6S RNA was the first non coding RNA to be sequenced, but its function was unknown until recently. Lineage: Bacteria; Bacillati; Bacillota; Bacilli; Caryophanales; Bacillaceae. The record is from RNAcentral.